AUUGAACGCUGGCGGCAUGCUUUACACAUGCAAGUCGAACGGUAACAGGGAGCUUGCUCCGCUGACGAGUGGCGAACGGGUGAGUAAUGCAUCGGAACGUACCGUGUAAUGGGAUAACGUAGCGAAAGUUACGCUAAUACCGCAUACGCCCUGAGGGGGAAAGCGGGGGAUCGUAAGACCUCGCGUUAUACGAGCGGCCGAUGUCGGAUUAGCUAGUUGGUGGGGUAAAGGCCUACCAAGGCGACGAUCCGUAGCGGGUCUGAGAGGAUGAUCCGCCACACUGGGACUGAGACACGGCCCAGACUCCUACGGGAGGCAGCAGUGGGGAAUUUUGGACAAUGGGGGCAACCCUGAUCCAGCCAUGCCGCGUGAGUGAAGAAGGCCUU
Molecule: ribosomal RNA, 386 nt
Filed under: uncultured bacterium
Lineage: Bacteria
Description: bacterial SSU rRNA
Rfam family: Bacterial small subunit ribosomal RNA
Source: RNAcentral